AGUGGGACAAGGUGAUUGACAGCUGUGUUCACCUAUCGGAGAGUAGGGCUCCCUACUUAAGGGCUGAUUGGUUGAUGCCGUGUAUGUGUCAUGUCUGAUCCCUCCCCCCGUGUCUGUUGACGGUCGUCACAGUGUGUGUUGGCUCCGAUGCUGGUGCCUGUUAGCACUGUUCCAUGGAUUUUAAGAGUGCUAGUCUCUCAGGUUGACUCCCUGUAUGCCAGGGCACUGGUGGCUGCCAUGACAGCUGUAUGCCGGUGUCCGUAAGGUGUCGUGCCUGGCGUAAGAAGCGGGUUCUCCCUCUCGUUCCGGGCUGUGAUUAGGUCUGCCGCCUACCUCUUCGCACUGUUUUAGCGCUGCUA
Paramisgurnus dabryanus is the source of this 359-nucleotide long non-coding RNA. RefSeq lists it as uncharacterized. Lineage: Eukaryota; Metazoa; Chordata; Actinopteri; Cypriniformes; Cobitidae. The record is from RefSeq and is a predicted model, not a curated record.